UACGGAGGGUGCAAGCGUUGUUCGGAAUUACUGGGCGUAAAGAGCAUGUAGGCGGUUUGGUAAGUUGGAAGUGAAAUCCCGAGGCUCAACCUCGGAACUGCUUUCAAAACUACCUCACUAGAGUAUGGUAGGGGACAGUGGAAUUCUUAGUGUAGGGGUGAAAUCCGUAGAUAUUAAGAGGAACACCAGAGGCGAAGGCGACUGUCUGGGCCACUACUGACGCUAAGAUGCGAAAGCGUGGGGAGCGAACGGG
This 253-nucleotide ribosomal RNA is filed under the name uncultured bacterium. Its description in RNAcentral is "partial 16S ribosomal RNA". It matches the Rfam family "Bacterial small subunit ribosomal RNA", at positions 524 to 776 of the family's 1533-position model. The record is from RNAcentral.